GUCGAGGGGUAUAGUUCUUCGGAGCUAGAGACCGGCGCACGGGUGCGUAACGCGUAUGCAAUCUACCUUUCACAGAGGGAUAGCCCAGAGAAAUUUGGAUUAAUACCUCAUAGUAUUAUGGAGUGGCAUCACUUUAUAAUUAAAGUCACAACGGUGAAAGAUGAGCAUGCGUCCCAUUAGCUAGUUGGUAAGGUAACGGCUUACCAAGGCAACGAUGGGUAGGGGUCCUGAGAGGGAGAUCCCCCACACUGGUACUGAGACACGGACCAGACUCCUACGGGAGGCAGCAGUGAGGAAUAUUGGUCAAUGGACGCAAGUCUGAACCAGCCAUGCCGCGUGCAGGAUGACGGUCCUAUGGAUUGUAAACUGCUUUUGUACGAGAAGAAACACUCCUACGUGUAGGAGCUUGACGGUAUCGUAAGAAUAAGGAUCGGCUAACUCCGUGCCAGCAGCCGCGGUAAUACGGAGGAUCCAAGCGUUAUCCGGAAUCAUUGGGUUUAAAGGGUCCGUAGGCGGUUUAGUAAGUCA
RNAcentral lists this ribosomal RNA (528 nucleotides) under Flavobacterium sp. RNAcentral describes it as "bacterial SSU rRNA". It matches the Rfam family "Bacterial small subunit ribosomal RNA", at positions 61 to 590 of the family's 1533-position model. The record is from RNAcentral. Lineage: Bacteria; Pseudomonadati; Bacteroidota; Flavobacteriia; Flavobacteriales; Flavobacteriaceae.